GCCUCCCGGGUUCACGCCAUUCUCCUGCUUCAGCCUCCUGAGUAGCUACGACUACAGGUGCCCGGCAUCAUGCCCGGCUAACUUUUUUUGUAUUUUUAGUAGAGAUGGGGUUUUGCCAUGUUAGCCAGUAUGAUCUUGAUCACCUGACCUCAUGAUCCACCGGCCUUGGCCUCCCAAAGUGUUAGGAUUACAGGCAUGAGCCACUGCGCUCGGCCAUGAAUAUCAUACUAGGCACAAAGACCCAUUUCUAGGAAAGGUGGAUGAUGUCAUCACUUAGAAUAAGGAACCACUAGUAUUAAGCAAAAGUACAGCCCUUGCUGAAUCCCUGAAGAGGACUUCCAUUCCCAGACAUACAGACAGCAGUCUCAACCACGAAGGCUCCAAGAGGACUUGGAAAAUUCAUGAUCCUAAUAAAACAAGUUCUUCCCUAGAAACAACUGUCAGCCACUUUCCAGUAGAAGAGAGAGAGACACAGCAGUGUUGCUCCCCGGCAGAUGCUGGCCACACAUGCCGUUCACAGCCCAGAGAUAAGCAAAGGUCAUGCGCACGAAUGAGUCUGUGCUAGUAUGGUUUCAAGCUGGCGAGGAAGAGCUCACGGUGCUUACCCAUGCAGUUCUUCAUCAUCAUGAAGCCACUUUCAUAGCCUUCGAAGCACUCGCACUCAAAGCUGCCCGGUGUAUUGACGCAGAUUCCACUGCCACAGAGGAGCAAGCCCCGAUAAACUUCCUGAAUGCUCUUCUCUGCCUUGGAGUCUGUUUCCUGAGGAGCUUAACCUGCCUCUGUCUGAAGAAAUAUCACAGGGGAUUUAUACUCUUGGGACAGAACAUUGGUCACAAAACCUAAGUUUAACUGAGAAAAUAAAGUGGGAAGUCAAACAUUUAAAGCAAAACCAAUUCUCAGAGAAUGUGGAAGGCUUCCUGUUGGUGAAGAAGGACCAAGGCGCUGGCCGCAGGCAGUUACCUUUGUAAAAUGGCCGCCCAGUAAGAACAUCCCCUCGGUUAGCAAAGCCAGCCCCGCGGGGGCACAGCGUCUCGUAUUCCUUGGUGCCAGGUUUGGGGCACUCCUCACACUCGGUGCCCCAAGCCGCCCCGACAGCACAGCAGCAGGCAUCCAUGCGGAACUUUCCAGGAACGGGGUGGAUGCAUUCAUCUUCAUCCCACUUCAAGUAACACUGCUCCAUGCGAAUAUCUACACCGAGAACGAAAUCACAGGGUGAGAAUGAGUUGAAACAUCCAUUGAACAGUCACAUGUCAAGCGUCUGCUCAGCACCAGGCAUCAUGCAGGACCCUUGCGGUGUACUGGUGGGCAAGAUGCAGUCCCUGACCUCCUGGAAUGGACUCCAUAAUGACAGUCAUUUAAGGAGAACAAAGGUGAGAUCCUCUUCAGUCUUAAUUCUCACAAGAAACCCUCAGGAAGAAAAGGUCCUCUCAUGAGAUGACUGCUUCAUGUCUAUUACUCCUUUUUUGUAUUGUUCACUUUAGAAAAGGUAAGAUAAUUUUAAUGAUAAUUCUUCCUGUUCAGAGAAUUGCUUCAAGUGCCUUUUAAGCAGCCCUGUCAGAUCCCAUUCAUAAACAGUAAAUGAUCGGCUAUAAUCUAUUUGCCAAUUUGUUACAACUAUUAAGAUCACUACAAAAGAAAGUGUUAUAAUAUUAUUACAUUUAAAGUUUUUUUUUUUCUCCUGCCAACUUUACCUUUUGCAUCAUGGUUUUUCCCUGGAUUAUGUGAAUUUUCCGUUUUAAGGGACCAAUUAUUUGUUUAAAUGUCACAUUUUCCCUCCAACUUCAAAACAGACCAACAUUUCAGUGCUUAGCCUGUGCUAGCCAGGACCUUAGAAUAUCUAUAAACAGUCGCCUACAUCUAAAAAUAGAGUAGACCAGAAUGGUCUAUAAAUAACAUGUUCAUCUGUUAGCAAAUAGAUUUAUUUUCAAAUCAUACUAAAGCACUUGGCUGUUUAAUUACAAAUAUGGAUAAUGAGUUUGGAAACGGUUCCUUAAUCAAAUAGCAUGAUUUCUUUGAUAAGAACAUUUUAAGACAUUAAAUCCUUUCCAGAAGCUGAAAACUGUCUAACGGAGGGAAUGAGAUCCCUGAUGGAAAUGUACACAUAAAAAUUAAUGUUUACUACUUUAGUUACUGUCAAUAUUGAUUCUUUCAAGUUCUAAAAGGUAAUGAGUUACAUUUCUGAGUACUGGAAUUAAAAAGUUCUAUUUUUUUUCUUUCUUUCUUUCUUUUGAGAUGGAGUCUCACUCUGUUGCCCAGACCAGGUGUGGCGUGGUGGCUCAUGCUUAUAAUUUCAGCACUUUGGGAGACUGAGGCAGCUGGAUCACCUGAGGUCAGGAGUUCGAGACCAGCCUGGCCAACAUGGCGAAAACCCAUCUCUACUAAAAAUACAAAAAUUAGCUGGGCAUGGUGCUGGGUACCUGUAAUCCCAGCUACCUGAGAAAAAGUCCUAUUUUUAAGGAAAAAAUAACUGUGGUAAAUGUUUAUUUUGAUUCAGCAGACUGAAUGUAGAUAUCUACAGAAGGUGAUUCUGUCUUAUAUAUCUACAUUAACACAAACCAAAAAGCCACAUGCUUUGCCAGUGUGAAGUGUGAUAGUAAUCCAGCGUCUCAUUAUCACAGGGCUCUGAGGGGCUAGUCUCCUUAUAGCUGGUUCCGUCCCAUAUGUCAGCAGCUAAGUAAGAAUCUUCUCAAGAUGUGAAAGUCUUAUAUAAGUACAGGUGGCCUAAGAACUCUGGCCUGAGUCAUACUGUGAGGUUACUGAAGAAACCUGCUCAAGAAGCUCAAGACAAACUAAAAAUGUACCAUUUCAUAGCUUAUUGGAAUAAACUAGGGUGAGAGGGGAAAGGCAUCUGAACUAUGCAUGUAAAAAGUUAUAACAGCCAGGAAGAGCAAUCCUGUCUUUAAUACUGAGACCUCUAUGGAUGUUUAUAUCGGCAAUUAAAAGUCAGCACACUACUGAGAACUCUAUAUUUAUAUCAGGAAUUAAACGUCAGUACACUGGCCACAUAAGGCCUAUCAAUGCUGCGAUUGUCCUUGCAUGGAAAUUAAAAUAUGAAUUUGGAAACCUUUGGAUGGUCCAUGUUCUCUGAAGUUUGCUGCAGUCCCCACUGCUCCCUGUUGUCGCGUCACUCAUUUAUAUGUUACAUGCUUGGCUCCUGCAAGCAUCUGAGUUUGGGAUCCCUGAUUCAGAUGAGGUUCUAUCAGAGCAUUUACCAAAACUUUAGUUCUCAGAAUACUUUACAUUUUCAUGUGCCAGUUGCUUCUUGAAACUUUCUCACAUCCCCAGACAGAAUUAAUUAAUAUAGCAUAAUUCAAGUGGUGACAAAAGCAUUUAAGCAAAGUACAAGGAUGAAGAAUCCAAUAUAUCAUCUUAGAAUAUUAAAAAAUGCUUUUUUUUUUUUGAGACAGAGCCUCACUCUGUUGCCAAGGCUAGGGUAUAGUGGUGCGACCUCGGCUCACUGCAAUCUCCACUUCCCAGGUUCAAGCGAUUCUCCUGCUUCAGUCCCUCGAGUAGCUGGGAUUACAGGCAUGCAUCACCAUGCCCAGCUAAUUUUUAUAUUUUUAGUAGAGACGGGGAGGGGGGGGUUCCCCAUGUUGCCCAGGCUGGUCUUGAACUCCUGACCUCAGGUGAUCCACCUGUCUCAGCCUCCCAAAGUGCUGGGAUUACAGGCGUAAGCCACCACUCCCAGCCAUAAUUUUGAAUAAUGUUAUUGAAAAUUUAUUUUGCUGAGUAAUAAUUUACAAUCAAUGAUAUAUCUUCAUAUAUUAUAGCAUUUCAUUAUAGAAGGUAACUUGAUUUCAUUAGUCAUUUGGCCAUACUGAUAUUAUUAUUUUUGACAUUUUCUUUUUUUAAAAUUUCGAUAGUUUUGGGGGAAUAUUUUGUCAUUUUCAAAUGAUACUUAUUUCUAAACAUUGUAGAUCACUUAAAGAUAAUUUUUAAAAUAUUUAAAAAUCUGAAAGACAUUUUCUUUAUUUUUGUACUUUGGAUAUUAUGUUUUCUAAAUAAUUUUGUAUGAUUUUACAGUCAUGCUUCCAAUCCAGAUUUAAAUGUGCUAUCAAAAACUGAGUUAAAAAUGAAAUCUGUUUUAAUUAUAAUAACUGUAUGGUAUUGCAAACUUUUUUCUUACAGUAAAUUUUAAAAAUCACUGAUAUGUAAAUACUUUAAAGGUGAUUGCAUACACCACCACUAUUAUUUAUGCUUUGUCUACAUGUCUAAAUUUCAAAUACAAAUCUAUGUAAAGUUCUUUUAUAAACUAAAAAUUUACUGUUCCAUAGCUUAUUGGGGGAAAAAAAAUCUCUGUAGGUAAAUGAAAAAUUAUUGUUACAUACAAUGAAAAUUAAUAGAAAUUUCUUUUUCAAUCAUGAAAUUCAAGUUCAAACAUGACACUAAUAAAGAAAAA
This 4399-nucleotide long non-coding RNA is filed under the name Homo sapiens (human). Its description in RNAcentral is "HSALNT0094220". Lineage: Eukaryota; Metazoa; Chordata; Mammalia; Primates; Hominidae. The record is from RNAcentral.